Molecule: long non-coding RNA, 1593 nt
Organism: Balaenoptera ricei (Rice's whale)
Lineage: Eukaryota; Metazoa; Chordata; Mammalia; Artiodactyla; Balaenopteridae
Exons: 2
Source: RefSeq, a predicted model, not a curated record
CGCGCAAUCGGGUUCCGGCCGCGCAAUCGGGUUCCGGCCCUACCAACGGCCUGCGCUUGCGCAGGGCGGCCCCGCGCCGGGCUCCCCGCGGAGAGGCAUCCCCCCCACCCCCCCACCCCCACGCUGGCCACGCGGUGGAGGGACGCUGUGGAGAAGCCGGGAGGGAAGCGCAAACGCGCGUGUCGCCCAGGACAGCGAGACAGCGGUCAGCGGUCGGUGGGCUCGGAUUGGACAUUCCCAGCGCCUCGCUGGUCCCACGGAAAUGGAGAAAUAGCUUCGGGAAGGAAGUCUGAGAUCGGAGGGACAGCCGGUUUGGUUUCUUCUGAGGCCUCUCUCCUUGGCUUGCAGACAGCUGCCUUCCUCCUGUGUCUUUCCUCUGUACAGGUGCAUCCCUGGUGUCUCUCUGAGUCCCAUUUUCCUUUUCUUAUAAGGUCAUUGGAGGAUGGCCCACCCUAAUGGCCUGAUUUUAAGUUGAUUACCUCUUUAAAGGCCCUACUUCUAAGUCUCAUUCUGAGGUGCUGGGGUUGGAACUUCAAUAUAUAAAUUUGGGGGGAUGCAGUUCGGCCCAUAACAGUAGUGGUAACUAUGAUUUCAUCCGAAGGCUACUGUAUAUCAGAACAAGGCUGAGAUGGGGCCUGAAAGGUGAUGACCGUCUCUCAGAGAGCCUGGCUUUGGAGCCUGAUUGCGGUAACUGAUGAGGCUGGGAGUGUCCCCUUUGAGGAAGAGACAGUUUGGCUGCACAAGGCCUGACCUCCAGCUCCCGUCCUUGCCCUGACCUUCUGCCUGCAGCACAGCAGCCUGAGUGGUCCUUUUAAAGCAUGAGUCAGGUUGGGAUGCACAUUACUCAACACCUGUCAUCUCCCCAUCUCACUUGGAGCAAAAUUCGAACUGCCAUCCUUCUUCAAACUUUCCAGGCUUGCUCCCACCUAAGGUACUUUACAGGGCCUGAAACGCUCUUCCUGCACACAUCAGCCUAGCGUUGACACAGAACAGGACCCUAUGGUCUAUGCCCCCCAUGUCUUCCGCCUGCCUUUUGUGUGUGGAAAAACUUUAGCCAAAAAAUAAGUUUAAUCAGAGAAAUGAGAAAAUACAAAAUCAAAGGAAAAUAGUCAAAGGGGACAAAAAAAUAAUAGUUCAAGUCAGUAAGCAAAGUCAAGGACCUUUAGUUCCUCCUCAAGGGCUAUAGAUAGUAUUCUGAGCCGUGUCCUGUGAGCUGUUUUAUAGAUACUGAAACCCCCACCAGGUGGAAGAAGUUAACUACAUGAUGUCCAGACUGUAGCCAUGACAGAAGCUGCCACAAUUCUGAGAAUUGGCCUCAUGGAAAUGGGAACAAACUGACCCUGGAACUGAAGAUUAACUGUACUUAAAACAAUCGAGAUGAUGCUGGUCAGACCACCGAUGACCAAUUUCAAGAUGACCAUCAGAGCUGACUGUGCUGUCUCUGCAUGUAGCCCCCUCUCUCCGUCUAUAAAAGCUCUUGCCCACUGGUUGUCGGUGGAGGGGAGUCGGCCUUUGGACAGGAGUCUGCCCUUCCCCUUCCCUAGACCCCACAAUUGGCAGCCUCAGAAAUAAAGCAAACUUUCCUUUCCACCA